This 73-nucleotide transfer RNA is filed under the name Stegodyphus mimosarum. It matches the Rfam family "tRNA". Rfam says of the family: Transfer RNA (tRNA) molecules are approximately 80 nucleotides in length. Their secondary structure includes four short double-helical elements and three loops (D, anti-codon, and T loops). Lineage: Eukaryota; Metazoa; Arthropoda; Arachnida; Araneae; Eresidae. The record is from Rfam by way of RNAcentral.
GCCUUUGUGGUGUAGUGGUCAGCACACUCGGCGUGUAAACGAGAGGUCGCUGGUUGGAUUCCCGGUAAGGGCA